RNAcentral lists this ribosomal RNA (504 nucleotides) under uncultured bacterium. RNAcentral describes it as "bacterial SSU rRNA". It matches the Rfam family "Bacterial small subunit ribosomal RNA", at positions 16 to 518 of the family's 1533-position model. The record is from RNAcentral.
AUCCUGGCUCAGGAUGAACGCUGGCGGCGUGCUUAAUACAUGCAAGUCGAACGAAGCACUUAUGACAGAUCCCCUCGGGGUGAAGACGUUGUGACUGAGUGGCGGACGGGUGAGUAACGCGUGGGUAACCUGCCUUAUGCAGGGGGACAACAGUUGGAAACGACUGCUAAUACCGCAUAAGCGCACGGCACCGCAUGGUGCAGUGUGAAAAGAUUUAUCGGCAUAAGAUGGACCCGCGUCUGAUUAGGUAGUUGGUGAGGUAACGGCCCACCAAGCCGACGAUCAGUAGCCGACUUGAGAGAGUGAUCGGCCACAUUGGGACUGAGACACGGCCCAGACUCCUACGGGAGGCAGCAGUAGGGAAUAUUGCACAAUGGGGGAAACCCUGAUGCAAGCGACGCCGCGUGAGUGAUGAAGUAUUUCGGUACGUAAAGCUCUAUCAGCAGGGAAGAUAAUGACGGUACCUGACUAAGAAGCCCCGGCUAACUACGUGCCAGCCGCCGC